GAUGAACGCUGGCGGCGUGCCUAAUACAUGCAAGUCGAGCGAAUGGAUUAAGAGCUUGCUCUUAUGAAGUUAGCGGCGGACGGGUGAGUAACACGUGGGUAACCUGCCCGUAAGACUGGGAUAACUCCGGGAAACCGGGGCUAAUACCGGAUAACAUUUUGAACCGCAUGGUUCGAAAUUGAAAGGCGGCUUCGGCUGUCACUUAUGGAUGGCCCCGCGUCGCAUUAGCGAGUUGGUGAGGUAACGGCUCACCAAGGCAACGAGGCGUAGCCGACCUGAGAGGGUGAUCGGCCACACUGGGACUGAGACACGGCCCAGACUCCUACGGGAGGCAGCAGUAGGGAAUCUUCCGCAAUGGACGAAAGUCUGACGGAGCAACGCCGCGUGAGUGAUGAAGGCUUUCGGGUCGUAAAACUCUGUUGUUAGGGAAGAACAAGUGCUAGUUGAAUAAGCUGGCACCUUGACGGUACCUAACCAGAAAGCCACGGCUAACUACGUGCCAGCCGCCGCCGUAA
Molecule: ribosomal RNA, 515 nt
Filed under: uncultured bacterium
Lineage: Bacteria
Description: partial 16S ribosomal RNA
Rfam family: Bacterial small subunit ribosomal RNA
Source: RNAcentral